GGAGUGCCACGAAUAGUGCGAGAGCAUCCAAACCCGCGUAUCCAUACAAAAAAGGGCGUAUGGGAUAUGCACGCUUAGAGGAUAAACUUUUAGAGGAGUCUAAAAGUGAGGAAACCUCACUUCCUGUACAUGUGUUGUGGAGGGAAGCUCGUGUGGGCAAGAGUCAAGCUGUCGAUCCCGAAGUUCAGAGAGUUUUUACUGAAUGUGAGACCUUGUCGCAAUCGGCAUCCACCGGUGAAG
Long non-coding RNA from Vicia villosa (hairy vetch), 240 nucleotides. RefSeq lists it as uncharacterized. The transcript has 3 exons. NCBI's taxonomy places the organism in Eukaryota, Viridiplantae, Streptophyta, Magnoliopsida, Fabales, Fabaceae. The record is from RefSeq and is a predicted model, not a curated record.